UUGACCUCGGAUCAGGUAGGGGUACCCGCUGAACUUA
This 37-nucleotide ribosomal RNA is filed under the name Lithothelium immersum. RNAcentral's name for it is "partial large subunit ribosomal RNA". The record is from RNAcentral. Lineage: Eukaryota; Fungi; Ascomycota; Eurotiomycetes; Pyrenulales; Pyrenulaceae.